GCCGGAGUGGUGAAACUGGUAGACGCAGAGGACUCAAAAUCCUCCGGGGUAUAUCCUCAUGCGGGUUCAAUUCCCGCCUCCGGCACCA
RNAcentral lists this transfer RNA (88 nucleotides) under Pseudomonadota bacterium. Its description in RNAcentral is "Proteobacteria bacterium (cold seep metagenome) tRNA-Leu". It matches the Rfam family "tRNA". Rfam says of the family: Transfer RNA (tRNA) molecules are approximately 80 nucleotides in length. The record is from RNAcentral. Lineage: Bacteria; Pseudomonadati; Pseudomonadota.